CCUACGGGUGGCAGCAGUGAGGAAUAUUGGUCAAUGGACGCGAGUCUGAACCAGCCAAGUAGCGUGAAGGAUGACUGCCCUAUGGGUUGUAAACUUCUUUUAUACGGGAAUAAACUGAUCCACGUGUGGCUUUUUGUAUGUACCAUAUGAAUAAGGAUCGGCUAACUCCGUGCCAGCAGCCGCGGUAAUACGGAGGAUCCUAGCGUUAUCCGGAUUUAUUGGGUUUAAAGGGAGCGUAGGUGGGUUGUUAAGUCAGUUGUGAAAGUUUGCGGCUCAACCGUGAAAUUGCAUUUGAUACUGGCAGGCUUGAGGACAGUUGAGGUAGGCGGAAUGCGUGGUGUAGCGGUGAAAUGCUUAGAUAUCACGAAGAACUCCGAUUGCGAAGGCAGCUUACUAAACUGCCACUGACAUUGAGGCUCGAAAGUGUGGGUAUCAAACAGGAUUAGAUACCCGGGUAGUC
Molecule: ribosomal RNA, 460 nt
Filed under: uncultured bacterium
Lineage: Bacteria
Description: partial 16S ribosomal RNA
Rfam family: Bacterial small subunit ribosomal RNA
Source: RNAcentral